Molecule: ribosomal RNA, 383 nt
Filed under: uncultured Escherichia sp.
Lineage: Bacteria; Pseudomonadati; Pseudomonadota; Gammaproteobacteria; Enterobacterales; Enterobacteriaceae
Description: bacterial SSU rRNA
Rfam family: Bacterial small subunit ribosomal RNA
Source: RNAcentral
AGAGUUUGAUCCUGGCUCAGAUUGAACGCUGGCGGCAGGCCUAACACAUGCAAGUCGAACGGUAACAGGAAGCAGCUUGCUGCUUUGCUGACGAGUGGCGGACGGGUGAGUAAUGUCUGGGAAACUGCCUGAUGGAGGGGGAUAACUACUGGAAACGGUAGCUAAUACCGCAUAACGUCGCAAGACCAAAGAGGGGGACCUUCGGGCCUCUUGCCAUCGGAUGUGCCCAGAUGGGAUUAGCUAGUAGGUGGGGUAACGGCUCACCUAGGCGACGAUCCCUAGCUGGUCUGAGAGGAUGACCAGCCACACUGGAACUGAGACACGGUCCAGACUCCUACGGGAGGCAGCAGUGGGGAAUAUUGCACAAUGGGCGCAAGCCUGAU